GGCCUUGUAGCAUAAUGGAUAAUGCAGACCCGUCCUAAGGGUAAGAUUGUGGGUUCGACUCCCGCCGAGGCCG
This 73-nucleotide transfer RNA is filed under the name Candidatus Daviesbacteria bacterium RIFCSPHIGHO2_01_FULL_38_8. RNAcentral describes it as "tRNA-Arg". It matches the Rfam family "tRNA". From Rfam's summary of the family: Transfer RNA (tRNA) molecules are approximately 80 nucleotides in length. Their secondary structure includes four short double-helical elements and three loops (D, anti-codon, and T loops). The record is from RNAcentral. Lineage: Bacteria; Candidatus Daviesiibacteriota.